GACGAACGCUGGCGGCGUGCUUAACACAUGCAAGUCGAACGGAAAGGCCCUGCUUGCAGGGUACUCGAGUGGCGAACGGGUGAGUAACACGUGGGUGAUCUGCCCUGCACUUCGGGAUAAGCCUGGGAAACUGGGUCUAAUACCGGAUAGGAGCCAUUUUUAGUGUGAUGGUUGGAAAGUUUUUUCGGUGUAGGAUGAGCUCGCGGCCUAUCAGCUUGUUGGUGGCGUAAUGGCCUACCAAGGCGGCGACGGGUAGCCGGCCUGAGAGGGUGGACGGCCACAUUGGGACUGAGAUACGGCCCAGACUCCUACGGGAGGCAGCAGUGGGGAAUAUUGCACAAUGGGCGCAAGCCUGAUGCAGCGACGCCGCGUGGGGGAUGACGGCCUUCGGGUUGUAAACUCCUUUCGCUAGGGACGAAGCUUUUUGUGGCGGGACCUAGAUAAGAAGCACCGGCUAACUACG
This 463-nucleotide ribosomal RNA is filed under the name uncultured bacterium. Its description in RNAcentral is "partial 16S ribosomal RNA". It matches the Rfam family "Bacterial small subunit ribosomal RNA", at positions 28 to 505 of the family's 1533-position model. The record is from RNAcentral.